ACGGGUGAGUAACACGUGAGUAACCUGCCCCCUUCUUCUGGAUAACCGCAUGAAAGUGUGGCUAAUACGGGAUAUUCUGGGUCUGUCGCAUGGUGGGCCUGGGAAAGAUUGCGCCUUUUUUGGUGUUUUUGGUGGGGGAUGGGCUCGCGGCCUAUCAGCUUGUUGGUGGGGUGAUGGCCUACCAAGGCGGUGACGGGUAGCCGGCCUGAGAGGGUGGACGGUCACACUGGGACUGAGACACGGCCCAGACUCCUACGGGAGGCAGCAGUGGGGAAUAUUGCACAAUGGGCGCAAGCCUGAUGCAGCGACGCCGCGUGAGGGAUGGAGGCCUUCGGGUUGUGAACCUCUUUCGCCAGUGAAGCAGGCCUGCCUCGUUUGUGGGUGGGUUGACGGUAGCUGGAUAAGAAGCGCCGGCUAACUACGUGCCAGCAGCCGCGGUAAUACGUAGGGCGCGAGCGUUGUCCGGAAUUAUUGGGCGUAAAGAGCUCGUAGGCGGCUGGUCGCGUCUGUCGUGAAAUCCUCUGGCUUAACUGGGGGCUUGCGGUGGGUACGGGCCGGCUUGAGUGCGGUAGGGGAGACUGGAACUNCUGGUGUAGCGGUGGAAUGCGCAGAUAUCAGGAAGAACACCGGUGGCGAAGGCGGGUCUCUGGGCCG
Molecule: ribosomal RNA, 654 nt
Filed under: Actinomyces naeslundii
Lineage: Bacteria; Bacillati; Actinomycetota; Actinomycetes; Actinomycetales; Actinomycetaceae
Description: bacterial SSU rRNA
Rfam family: Bacterial small subunit ribosomal RNA
Source: RNAcentral